CUACGGGGCGCUCCAGUGAGGAAUAUUGCACAAUGGAGGAAACUCUGAUGCAGCAACGCCGCGUGGAGGAUGACGCAUUUCGGUGUGUAAACUCCUUUUAUAUGUCAAGAAAAUGACGGUAGCAUAUGAAUAAGCACCGGCUAACUCCGUGCCAGCAGCCGCGGUAAUACGGAGGGUGCAAGCGUUACUCGGAAUCACUGGGCGUAAAGGACGCGUAGGCGGGAUAUCAAGUCAGGUGUGAAAUCCUACAGCUUAACUGUAGAACUGCACUUGAAACUGGUAACCUAGAGUAUGGGAGGGGGCGAUGGAAUUAGUGGUGUAGGGGUAAAAUCCGUAGAUAUCACUAGGAAUACCUAAAGCGAAGGCGAUCUCCUGGAACAUAACUGACGCUGAGGCGUGAAAACGUGGGGAACAAACACGAUUAGAAACCCUUGUAGUC
This 439-nucleotide ribosomal RNA is filed under the name uncultured bacterium. Its description in RNAcentral is "partial 16S ribosomal RNA". It matches the Rfam family "Bacterial small subunit ribosomal RNA", at positions 339 to 795 of the family's 1533-position model. The record is from RNAcentral.